This 1716-nucleotide ribosomal RNA is filed under the name bioreactor sludge metagenome. RNAcentral's name for it is "eukaryotic LSU rRNA". It matches the Rfam family "Eukaryotic large subunit ribosomal RNA", at positions 1421 to 3377 of the family's 3401-position model. The record is from RNAcentral.
ACUUAUUGCGUCAAUUCCCUAGUCCAGAUCUUAAUUGAAGUAGCCAAUAAUCUGUAUACAGACCACUGAAGAGGAGAAGGAUUCCGCGGCCACUAAAACAGUCCGCGGGUGACUCGGUCCUAAGCGCUGGGCUACGGCCAUAGAAGCGUCGAAAGGGUAGCAGGUUAAGAUUCCUGCAGGCCUGCCUGAGAUUGGCAACAGAUGGCGAAGCUCACUGAGAAUCGGUCGACCCGGCUGGACCAUCGUCCCAGCUUAAUGCAAAUGAACGGGCGGAAGCGUUAAGCGCUAGAUGCCGGUUCUACUGCGAGAAUACGUCGGCGUAUACCGACGCGGGUGUGGCGGAUAAUCGCUUGAAGCUGGGCUUCGCGACUGGGGCAGGCACCGUACUGAUAACCGCAUCAGGUCUCCUAGGCAAGAAACCUCUAGUGAGAAGAUAACAUGGCCAAGGGAAGUCGGCAAAUCGGCUCUGUAACCUUGGGAUAAAGAGUGGCUCUGAAAGUCCGUGUGCGAAGCUAGUGAUUGUGACCUUGUUGAAGUGCCGAAGUGGGUAAAACUGCUAAGUACGAGACUUGUGAACUUUUGCGUGUGGACCACAUACUGGGCAUUUCAGAACUGCUACUGACUAGAAGAACCCGACUGUAUAAUUAAAACAUAGCAUCUCGAUAGCCACAACUGGUUUUGACGAGAUGUGAAUCCUGCCCAGUGCUAUGACUGUCAAUGUGACGAAGGUCAUUCAAGCUCUGGUAAACGGCGGGAGUAACUAUGACUCUCUUAAGGUAGCCAAAUGCCUCGUCCAGUAAUUUUGGACGUGCAUGAAUGGAUUAAUGAGGUUCUUACUGUCCCUGGCCAUAUCUUCGCGAAACCACAGACUCGGGAACGGGCGAGUGUAACCCUCAGCGGGGCAAGAAGACCCUGUUGAGCUUGACUCCAGCUUGGAAUUGUAGAACGGUGAUGGUGAUAUAGAGUACAGGGGAGCUAUGCGAUCAUGUAACACCCUGGCACUACUCAUUGUUCUGCUAACCUGCUUAACGGCCUGUCUUUUGAAGAGGGCUCGGCAGGGACAUUUCUAGGUGGGGAGUUUGGCUGGGGCGGCGCGCCUGCUAAAGCGCAACGCAGGCGUCCUAAAACAAGCUCAGACAGGACGGAAACCUGUCGUAGAGCAAAAGAGCAAAAGCUUGUCUGACUGAGUGCGUCAGUGGCGUACUCAGCCGUGAAAGCGUGGUCUAUCGAUCCUUUACGAUUCCUGGAAUGAAUCUGGAGGUGACAGAAAAGUUACCACAGGGAUAACUGGCUUGUGGCCGCCAAGCGACCAAAGCGACGUGGCUUUUUGAUUCUUCGAUGUCGGCUCUUCCUAUCAUUCUGAAGCAGCAUUCAGAAAGUGUUGGAUUGUUCACCCAUGCAAGGGAACGUGAGCUGGGUUUAGACCGUCGCGAGACAGGUUAGUUUUAUCCUACUGAGGACCGCGCACUGCAAGUAAUUUAGAUUAGUACGAGAGGAACAUUUUCAUCUAAGCACUGGUUUACAGCCUUGUUUGACAAAGCAGCUGGCUGAAGCCACCCUUAGGCAUGUUAUGGCUGACGGCCUCUAAGUGAGAAUCUCCCCUUCAGGUGUGCAUGGCUCAAGCGUCCUUGAAAUACCGGACCGAGCCGAUGUUACUCUGUAGACCACAGAGCUCGAGUGCAUUGUAAGAUAUAAGUAAAUUCAAGUAUUUGAGAU